CCUACGGGUGGCAGCAGUGGGGAAUAUUGCACAAUGGGGGGAACCCUGAUGCAGCGACGCAGCGUGGGUGAGGAAGUACUUCGGUAUGUAAAGCCCUAUUAGCAGGGAAGAAAAUGACGGUACCUGACUAAGAAGCUCUGUCUAACUACGUGCCAGCACCCGUGGUAAUACGUAGGGGGCAAGCGUUAUCCGGAUUUACUGGGGGUAAAGGGAGUGUAGACGGGGUGCAAAGUCUGAUGGGAAAGGCCGGGGCUCAACCCCGGGACUGCAUUGGAAACUGGGGUGCUGGAGUGCGGGAGGGGCAAGCGGAAUUCGUAGUGUAGCGGUGAAAUGCGUAGAUAUUAGGAGGAACACCGGUGGCGAAGGCGUCUUGCUGGACGGUAACUGACGUUGAGGCUCGAAAGCGUGGGGAGCAAACAGGAUUAGAUACCCCUGUAGUC
RNAcentral lists this ribosomal RNA (440 nucleotides) under uncultured bacterium. RNAcentral describes it as "partial 16S ribosomal RNA". It matches the Rfam family "Bacterial small subunit ribosomal RNA", at positions 338 to 795 of the family's 1533-position model. The record is from RNAcentral.